This 368-nucleotide ribosomal RNA is filed under the name uncultured organism. RNAcentral describes it as "bacterial SSU rRNA". It matches the Rfam family "Bacterial small subunit ribosomal RNA", at positions 526 to 896 of the family's 1533-position model. The record is from RNAcentral.
CGAAGGAUCCAAGCGUUGUCCGGAUUUACUGGGUUUAAAGGGUGCGUAGGCGGGCUAUUAAGUCAGUGGUGAAAGCUUGCAGCUUAACUGUAAAAUUGCCAUUGAAACUGAUAGCCUCGAAUAUGGUUGAGGUGGUUGGAAUGUAUCAUGUAGCGGUGAAAUGCUUAGAUAUGAUACAGAACACCGAUUGCGAAGGCAGAUCACUAAACCAUUAUUGACGCUGAGGCACGAAAGCGUGGGGAUCAAACAGGAUUAGAUACCCUGGUAGUCCACGCCCUAAACGUUGCAUACUCGGUUUUAGCGAUAUACAGUUAGGACCCAAGCGAAAGCGUUAAGUAUGCCACCUGGGAAGUACGUCCGCAAGGAUG